UCGAUCCGUGUGUGGGAGAACCGCACGCGCGGUUCAUGGGGAGGGGCGGGUGAGAGCCCGUCCCUAUCCAUAU
Molecule: unclassified non-coding RNA, 73 nt
Filed under: Candidatus Kentrum sp. TC
Lineage: Bacteria; Pseudomonadati; Pseudomonadota; Gammaproteobacteria
Source: RNAcentral